This is a long non-coding RNA of Centrocercus urophasianus (Greater sage-grouse), 1744 nucleotides long. RefSeq lists it as uncharacterized. NCBI's taxonomy places the organism in Eukaryota, Metazoa, Chordata, Aves, Galliformes, Phasianidae. The record is from RefSeq and is a predicted model, not a curated record. The transcript is spliced from 2 exons.
UCGGUGUGCUGUUUUAUCCCUUCCCUGUGCUUAACCCAUAUAGGAAAUGCUUAAUGCUGGCUUAUUGCAGAGCUCACCCCGUGCUGCAGCGUGCGAGUAGAGGAGGGCGACUGUGCACAACUGCUCUCUAUGGGAUUCUCCUUUCCUUCCCCUCUUUCACAUUUUUUUUUUUCCUUUCUUUUCUCCUUUUUCCCCUAUUUAUUUAUUCAUUUCUGGUUGGUGCUGGUGUUUUCAAGCCCCCCUUCAUAUCUCAGGGUGGCUCUAUCUCAGGGCGUUGGGGCUGUGCUGUACUCCACAGCCCGAGUUGCUGUACUAGGAGGAGCUGCAUUGCAUUUCAUGCAUUCGUGCACGUUCUGCUCCUCCCAUUAUAUGGGGAAUUCACUCCACAGGUGCUGCAUGGAGCAAAUCCCCCAAUUCCAGUCCUGCAGUGCAAAUUUUGGGGGUAGGAAUAUUCUCCAUAUUUAAGGCUGCUGGUGCAGCAAACGGCGUCUUGGUGGAGCUCUGUGUUUUCCCUUAAUUGUGUGUCCACCCAACCUAUUGUCACUGAAGUCCCAAACCCUUCUCAGCUCUCUGUGUUGCUUUCCAGCUCCCGUGUGGUUGGAGGCACUGGCAGGAGGAGCUGUAGCCCACGGCCAGGUGAGGGCAGCUGCUUGAAGAGAUGGAAGCAGUGAUCCUCCCCAGGUGCAGCCCUUCGCAGUGCUCUUGCAGAAGCAGAGCUGAAGCACUGCGGGGCUGCUCUGCUGCACCCCGGCUGGGUUUCCCUUCGGCUGUUGGCUCUUUACAGCACAGCAGUUGCACUUUGCAGAGCUGGAGCUGCUGCCAUCAGCACAGAGGACAUUGAAGUGAUGGAGAAAAUACUUUUUUUUUUUUUCUCUUUUUGCAAAUAUUGAAUUGGCUGUUUCCAAUAGGCUGGCACGGGCUGGGAGGGCUCUUGAAAUCCCGUUCUUCAGUUUGCUAAAGGGGCAGAGCAGCACAGGGGCUGAGCUCCCUGUGGGACAGGCCUGGCUGCUGCCGUCGUUCUGCGCUGCUGUGACGUUGCUUUUUGGGAAAAUGAAUUGAAGGAAGUUGUCACAUAACUGGGGGAAAAAAAGUCAAGAGGAAACAAAGAAGUGCGGGCUGUCUGCACAGGUCUGGGCGCUCUGUGCUGCAGCCUCAGCCUCUGCUCUGCACAGGGAAUGAUGGAGGGUCAGAGUACCUUUAUUUUCUGGUUGCAGAUGGUUUGUCCAUUCUAAAGGUACAUGAGCAUCAUGUCAGCUUUAGGAAAAAAAAGCUUCUCCCCCUUUCCUUUCCUUCCUUCUUUCCCCCUUUCUUUCUUUUUCCCUUCCUUCCCUUCAGCAGUUUAAGGACACAAGAGGUUUGCCCUGCUAAGCUGUGCAUUCAGCUGCUGGCACUGUGAUUCCUGGCCAACAGCUGAUGCACCACAGCCCCUAAGGGAAGAAGGAAAGGCAGUGGAUCAUUCCCCCACAAGCUCUGGGGGUGCAGCUGUGCCAUGUUGCAGCACUGUGGGUUUGGGGAGUGGGGUAUUUCUGUCUGUUUGCACUGUGUAACUGCUUGUUCUUUGUAGUUGCAGGUUGAUAGCACCUGGAAGGCAAAAAAAAAAAAAACAAACAAAAACAAACCAAAUCAACACAAAAGUCCUGAGGUGGUAAUGCAUGCAUGUUCAUGUCUUCAUGUAGAGCGUUCGUCGCUGCCUUAUGUCAUGAUUUACAAAUAAUAAUAAUAAUAACAAUAAUAAUAACCAAAA